GGGGACCUUCGGGGCCCUUCAUACCAUAGGCGGGGGCGUGCCCUCGUCGUCAGCUAAACGGAAGACAGACA
Molecule: regulatory RNA element, 71 nt
Rfam family: L2-Alphaproteobacteria ribosomal protein leader
Source: Rfam